This 163-nucleotide small nuclear RNA is filed under the name Aotus nancymaae (Ma's night monkey). Its description in RNAcentral is "U1 spliceosomal RNA (ENSANAG00000012077.1)". It matches the Rfam family "U1 spliceosomal RNA". From Rfam's summary of the family: U1 is a small nuclear RNA (snRNA) component of the spliceosome (involved in pre-mRNA splicing). Its 5' end forms complementary base pairs with the 5' splice junction, thus defining the 5' donor site of an intron. There are significant differences in sequence and secondary structure between metazoan and yeast U1 snRNAs, the latter being much longer (568 nucleotides as compared to 164 nucleotides in human). The record is from Rfam by way of RNAcentral. Lineage: Eukaryota; Metazoa; Chordata; Mammalia; Primates; Aotidae.
CAAAGCAUCUGGCAUAGGAGAUACCACAGUCAUGAAGGUGGUUUUCCCAGGUGAGGCUAAUCCAUUGCACUCUGGACAUGAUGACUCCUGAGAUUAUCCCAAAUGGGGGAAACUCAACUGUAUAAUUUGUGGUAGUGGAGGACUGUGUGUGUGCUCUCCCCUG